UUUCAACGUUGCAUAUCGUGGUAGCCAGUUCAAGUUCUAUAUUCACAUGGAAGGAUUUUAUUCACUGAAAAAGAUUUGGUACUUGAGAAAAGUACCUGAUGGAGAACUCCAUUUCCAGAUGUUGAAUUGCAAAUUUUGCGCAUUAAAUCGCCAGGGCCUUCAAGAUUGGGAUGAUGAGGUCAGCUCUCAGCAGCGAACGACAGAGUCGACGUCUUCAUCUUCCACGAUGAAUAAAAAAAAUGGAGAGGCCAUUGGUAUUGAGUACCAAAUGCAAAUAAACUGAACUAGGGCUCUGAACUCUUUAUUUUCUAUGUAAUUCAUUACAUGUGAACAUUUUGUUAGUUACAAUUUCAA
Long non-coding RNA from Momordica charantia (bitter melon), 354 nucleotides. RefSeq lists it as uncharacterized. The record is from RefSeq and is a predicted model, not a curated record. NCBI's taxonomy places the organism in Eukaryota, Viridiplantae, Streptophyta, Magnoliopsida, Cucurbitales, Cucurbitaceae.